UACGUAGGGGCUAGCGUUAUCCGGAAUUACUGGGCGUAAAGGGUGCGUAGGUGGUUUCUUAAGUCAGAGGUGAAAGGCUACGGCUCAACCGUAGUAAGCCUUUGAAACUGAGAAACUUGAGUGCAGGAGAGGAGAGUAGAAUUCCUAGUGUAGCGGUGAAAUGCGUAGAUAUUAGGAGGAAUACCAGUUGCGAAGGCGGCUCUCUGGACUGUAACUGACACUGAGGCACGAAAGCGUGGGGAGCAAACAGGAUUAGAUAUCCGCGUAGUCCCUGA
RNAcentral lists this ribosomal RNA (275 nucleotides) under uncultured prokaryote. RNAcentral describes it as "partial 16S ribosomal RNA". It matches the Rfam family "Bacterial small subunit ribosomal RNA", at positions 524 to 800 of the family's 1533-position model. The record is from RNAcentral.